Molecule: ribosomal RNA, 468 nt
Filed under: uncultured bacterium
Lineage: Bacteria
Description: partial 16S ribosomal RNA
Rfam family: Bacterial small subunit ribosomal RNA
Source: RNAcentral
GACGAACGCUGGCGGCGUGCUUAACACAUGCAAGUCGAACGGAAAGGCCCUGCUUUUGUGGGGUGCUCGAGUGGCGAACGGGUGAGUAACACGUGAGUAACCUGCCCUUGACUUUGGGAUAACUUCAGGAAACUGGGGCUAAUACCGGAUAGGAGCUCCUGCUGCAUGGUGGGGGUUGGAAAGUUUCGGCGGUUGGGGAUGGACUCGCGGCUUAUCAGCUUGUUGGUGGGGUAGUGGCUUACCAAGGCUUUGACGGGUAGCCGGCCUGAGAGGGUGACCGGCCACAUUGGGACUGAGAUACGGCCCAGACUGCUACGGGAGGCAGCAGUGGGGAAUCUUGCACAAUGGGCGGAAGCCUGAUGCAGAAACGCCGCGUGCGGGAUGACGGCCUUCGGGUUGUGAACCGCUUUCGCCUGUGACGAAGCGUGAGUGACGGUAAUGGGUAAAGAAGCACCGGCUAACUACGUG